UCGUCAGUGAGGUACAUCCUUACCUGUUACUUCAGAAAUGAAGUAUCAGAACAUGAUGAAUGGAAUUUGAUGAGAAAUGAUUAUUCUCACCUGAUCUUCGGAGAACUGCAACACUCCGAGGAUCCCUUUCUGAU
Small nucleolar RNA from Hucho hucho (huchen), 134 nucleotides. Its record names the gene U8. It matches the Rfam family "U8 small nucleolar RNA". Rfam says of the family: U8 is a member of the C/D class of snoRNA which contain the C (UGAUGA) and D (CUGA) box motifs. U8 is the RNA component of a small complex (the U8 snoRNP) which is required for accumulation of mature large subunit ribosomal RNAs, 5.8S and 28S rRNAs. Lineage: Eukaryota; Metazoa; Chordata; Actinopteri; Salmoniformes; Salmonidae. The record is from Ensembl.